AUUGAACGCUGGCGGAAUGCUUUACACAUGCAAGUCGAACGGCAGCACGGGGGCAGCCCUGGUGGCGAGUGGCGAACGGGUGAGUAAUACAUCGGAACGUGCCCGGUCGUGGGGGAUAACGUAGCGAAAGUUACGCUAAUACCGCAUACGAUCUGAGGAUGAAAGCGGGGGACCUUCGGGCCUCGCGCGAUCGGAGCGGCCGAUGUCAGAUUAGGUAGUUGGUGGGGUAAAGGCCUACCAAGCCGACGAUCUGUAGCUGGUCUGAGAGGAUGACCAGCCACACUGGGACUGAGACACGGCCCAGACUCCUACGGGAGGCAGCAGUGGGGAAUUUUGGACAAUGGGCGCAAGCCUGAUCCAGCCAUUCCGCGUGCAGGACGAAGGCCUUCGGGUUGUAAACUGCUUUUGUACGGAACGAAAAGGCUCUGGCUAAUACCUGGGGCUCAUGACGGUACCGUAAGAAUAAGCACCGGCUAACUACGUG
This 484-nucleotide ribosomal RNA is filed under the name uncultured bacterium. RNAcentral describes it as "partial 16S ribosomal RNA". It matches the Rfam family "Bacterial small subunit ribosomal RNA", at positions 30 to 507 of the family's 1533-position model. The record is from RNAcentral.